UCUGACCUCGAUCAGGUAGGGAUACC
Molecule: ribosomal RNA, 26 nt
Filed under: Subplenodomus violicola
Lineage: Eukaryota; Fungi; Ascomycota; Dothideomycetes; Pleosporales; Leptosphaeriaceae
Description: partial 28S ribosomal RNA
Source: RNAcentral